AGAUUGAACGCUGGCGGCAUGCCUUACACAUGCAAGUCGAACGGUAGAGUAGCAAUACUUGAGAGUGGCGAACGGGUGAGUAAUAUAUCGGAACGUGCCCAGUCGUGGGGGAUAACGUAGAGAAUUUACGCUAAUACCGCAUACGAUCUAAGGAUGAAA
RNAcentral lists this ribosomal RNA (159 nucleotides) under uncultured soil bacterium. Its description in RNAcentral is "partial 16S ribosomal RNA". It matches the Rfam family "Bacterial small subunit ribosomal RNA", at positions 26 to 205 of the family's 1533-position model. The record is from RNAcentral.